This 465-nucleotide ribosomal RNA is filed under the name uncultured bacterium. RNAcentral describes it as "partial 16S ribosomal RNA". It matches the Rfam family "Bacterial small subunit ribosomal RNA", at positions 338 to 795 of the family's 1533-position model. The record is from RNAcentral.
CCUACGGGAGGCAGCAGUAGGGAAUCUUCCACAAUGGGCGAAAGCCUGAUGGAGCAACGCCGCGUGGGUGAAGAAGGCCUUCGGAUCGUAAAACUCUGUUGUUAGAGAAGAAAGUUUGUGAGAGUAACUGUUUACGUUUCGACGGUAUCUAACCAGACAGCCACGGCUAACUACGUGCCAGCAGCCGCGGUAAUACGUAGGUGGCAAGCGUUAUCCGGAUUUAUUGGGCGUAAAGGUAACGCAGGCGGUCUUUUAAGUCUGAUGUGAAAGCCUUCGGCUUAACCGGAGUAGUGCAUUCGAAACUGGAAGACUUGAGUGCAGAAGAGGAGAGUGGAACUCCAUGGGUAGCGGUGAAAUGCGUAGAUAUAUGGAAGAACACCGGUGGCGAAAGCGGCUCUCUGGGCUGUAACUGACGCUGAGGUUCGAAAGCGUGGGUAGCAAACAGGAUUAGAUACCCUGGUAGUC